Molecule: ribosomal RNA, 468 nt
Filed under: Calumma ambreense
Lineage: Eukaryota; Metazoa; Chordata; Lepidosauria; Squamata; Chamaeleonidae
Description: partial 16S ribosomal RNA
Rfam family: Bacterial large subunit ribosomal RNA
Source: RNAcentral
GUAACGCCUGCCCUGUGGAACCCUAAACGGCCGCGGCACUAAAACCGUGCAAAGGUAGCACAAUCACUUGUCCCUUAAAUGAGGACCCGUAUGAAAGGCAACAUGAGAGAAGACCUGUCUCCUAAGAUCCGCCAAUGAAAUUGAACUCCCAGUACAAAAGCUGGUAUAAACAAGCAAGACAAAAAGACCCUGUGGAGCUUUAACAAAUUAUCUACAUGAAUUAGACAAUAGUUUCAGUUGGGACAACUCUAGAGAAAAUAAACCUCUUAAAUUACUAAGACCAACAAGUCUAAAACUACACUACGACCCAGUCAAACUGACUAACGAAACAAGCUACCCCAGGGAUAACAGCGCCACCUUCUAAAAGAGUCCAUAUCAACAAGAAGACCUACGACCUCGAUGUUGGAUCAGGGUACCCUGACGGUGCAACCGCUGUCGAUGGUUCGUUUGUUCAACGACUAACACCCU